Molecule: ribosomal RNA, 42 nt
Filed under: Colletotrichum destructivum
Lineage: Eukaryota; Fungi; Ascomycota; Sordariomycetes; Glomerellales; Glomerellaceae
Description: partial 18S ribosomal RNA
Source: RNAcentral
AGGAACAAGGUCUCCGUUGGUGAACCAGCGGAGGGAUCAUUA